RNAcentral lists this ribosomal RNA (333 nucleotides) under Triticum aestivum (bread wheat). RNAcentral describes it as "partial small subunit ribosomal RNA". The record is from RNAcentral. Lineage: Eukaryota; Viridiplantae; Streptophyta; Magnoliopsida; Poales; Poaceae.
AUGCCGUCUUCGCCGCGUGCUCACUCCUCUUUCUGUCAGCCUCUUUCUCUCAGGAGUUUACGUUACAUUCAGAUCCACUGGUGGUUGUACUCGCCUUGGGAGCUGAAUCAUGAAGAUGCUGCCGGUACACUGCAACAUGCACCCUCUCUCUUUCUCACCCUAACUACCCCCUUCUUCUUUCCUGUUGCCUUGUUUUCAAUGGAAGCAGGUUUUAGCCAUGGUGGUGGGGCUUCAUCAAGUUCUUGUUGGGGUAAAAAUGGAGCAUGGAGUAAGCUAAGAGAUGAGCCAUAUUUGGCAAGGAAGGUGGCCUCACUUUGCUUUUGCCAGAUCUAG